RNAcentral lists this signal recognition particle RNA (98 nucleotides) under Shewanella sp. OPT22. RNAcentral's name for it is "signal recognition particle sRNA small type". It matches the Rfam family "Bacterial small signal recognition particle RNA". From Rfam's summary of the family: The signal recognition particle (SRP) is a universally conserved ribonucleoprotein involved in the co-translational targeting of proteins to membranes. Archaeal SRP consists of a 7S RNA and homologues of the eukaryotic SRP19 and SRP54 proteins. The record is from RNAcentral. Lineage: Bacteria; Pseudomonadati; Pseudomonadota; Gammaproteobacteria; Alteromonadales; Shewanellaceae.
UCAGGGUCCCCCCGCAAUGAUAACUUGUGGACUUGGUCAGAGCCGGAAGGCAGCAGCCACAGCAAGCGACUCAUGUGCCGGGGUGUUGGCUCUGAGGG